Molecule: small RNA, 134 nt
Filed under: Drosophila guanche
Lineage: Eukaryota; Metazoa; Arthropoda; Insecta; Diptera; Drosophilidae
Source: RNAcentral
GCCGAUGCUGCUGCCGCUGCUGCUGCUGCUGCUGCUGCUGCUGCUGCUGCUGCCGAGGAUGAUGAGACGGCGUCGCCACUCCAAGUAGAGCGUUGGAAGCAGGCGGCAGCAGCAGCAGAAGCUGCAGCGUCAAC